RNAcentral lists this ribosomal RNA (253 nucleotides) under uncultured bacterium. RNAcentral describes it as "partial 16S ribosomal RNA". It matches the Rfam family "Bacterial small subunit ribosomal RNA", at positions 524 to 776 of the family's 1533-position model. The record is from RNAcentral.
GACAGAGGGUGCAAACGUUGUUCGGAAUUACUGGGCGUAAAGCGCGUGUAGGCAGCUUCGCAAGUCGGAUGUGAAAGCCCUGGGCUCAACCUAGGAAGUGCAUUCGAAACUGCAAAGCUUGAGUUCUGGAGAGGAAGGCGGAAUUCUCGGUGUAGAGGUGAAAUUCGUAGAUAUCGGGAGGAACACCGGUGGCGAAGGCGGCCUUCUGGACAGCAACUGACGCUGAGACGCGAAAGCGUGGGGAGCAAACAGG